GUCGCAUUCGUCUAGUCGGGUAAGGAUUUCACAUUUUCACUGUGAAGACGCUGGUUCAAAUCCAGUAUGCGAUACCA
This 77-nucleotide transfer RNA is filed under the name Hyphomicrobiales bacterium. Its description in RNAcentral is "Rhizobiales bacterium tRNA-Glu". It matches the Rfam family "tRNA". From Rfam's summary of the family: Transfer RNA (tRNA) molecules are approximately 80 nucleotides in length. Their secondary structure includes four short double-helical elements and three loops (D, anti-codon, and T loops). Further hydrogen bonds mediate the characteristic L-shaped molecular structure. tRNAs have two regions of fundamental functional importance: the anti-codon, which is responsible for specific mRNA codon recognition, and the 3' end, to which the tRNAs corresponding amino acid is attached (by aminoacyl-tRNA synthetases). tRNAs cope with the degeneracy of the genetic code in two manners: having more than one tRNA (with a specific anti-codon) for a particular amino acid; and 'wobble' base-pairing, i.e. permitting non-standard base-pairing at the 3rd anti-codon position. The record is from RNAcentral. Lineage: Bacteria; Pseudomonadati; Pseudomonadota; Alphaproteobacteria; Hyphomicrobiales.